GGGGCUAUAGCUCAGUUGGCAGAGCGCUUCCAUGGCAUGGAAGAGGUCAAGGGUUCAAUUCCCUUUAGCUCCACCG
This 76-nucleotide transfer RNA is filed under the name Acidimicrobiaceae bacterium. RNAcentral describes it as "tRNA-Ala". It matches the Rfam family "tRNA". Rfam says of the family: Transfer RNA (tRNA) molecules are approximately 80 nucleotides in length. Lineage: Bacteria; Bacillati; Actinomycetota; Acidimicrobiia; Acidimicrobiales; Acidimicrobiaceae. The record is from RNAcentral.